Molecule: long non-coding RNA, 1822 nt
Organism: Sus scrofa (pig)
Lineage: Eukaryota; Metazoa; Chordata; Mammalia; Artiodactyla; Suidae
Source: RefSeq, a predicted model, not a curated record
UGUCAACCAUGCCAUCUUGUAAGUUAUUCGCCAAAUAAACCGUCUAAAUAUGCUCUAAAAAGACCAUUUAAAAAUUUUCACGAUCUGAGUAAAUCUGGGAGCAUACUGGGGCUAAGAAAGUCCUAAAGUUGAAAGCGAUAGAAAUAAUCCUCUUAAUUGAGCAAUAAAAUGCUUCUUUAUUGUUUAAAUUGUUUUAAAAGGAAGGUUCAUAGUUGAGCUUGACAGUCAUCUCUGCCUUCUUAGGAGAAACAUAGCCUAUAAAAUCAUUUAAAACCGCAGACCACCGACUUGGACUCAGGACUGGGGUUUUCUGGUUUCGCCCUGACUCACAAAGGUCCCCAGCGACGCGCCGUCUGCAGAUGGCAGCCUCCGGCGGGAAGUCCACAACUCCACUUCCUGCCUGGGGGAGGCACUUCGGGCCCUCGCCGGGAAUUCAGAAACCUGUUUGAGCCGUUUCUGUAGGGCUGAACCUUGUUAUUUAGUAAAUAUUUAUUUAGCUCUCUGAGGACUCAGAACUAAUCACUGUCACUUCUCUUUAAUAAUAAAUGGUGAACUUCAAACGCGGCAGAACUCCACCGACUAAUCAGUGCUCUCCGGGAGGUGCAAAACUGCAAUCCGCCAGCGGACAUGAAAGACUGAACAUUUCCUGUUCCCACUCGCGGUGGCCCAGAAUAAACUUAAACCAAGUGAGAGAUGUUGAUGGCGGCCGCCCCCACCGCGCGCCGACCCUGGGAGCCAGGAAUCCAUCUGCCCGCGGCCGAGCGCGCCGCCCCUUCCCCUUUCGCCCCAGGGACCCUCAAAGCCCGCUGCUCUGCUGCUCCACAAUCUGGGCUGCUGCUUCCUUGGGCUUUUAAGGUUGUCUUUUAAAUUCGCUAUUCAGGUGCAAACCAAUUAGCCCUUUCCUUGUUCCCGAGCGAGCGGUGGAGAGCGCCCGGCGCCCCCUCGCCGACGGAAACUCGCGGGCUCCGCGCAGUGGGCUCCUUCCUCGCCGCCGCUCGCUGGCUGUCAAAGAGGUCAGCGCGCCGGGUGGCAUUGACGCCAGCCUUCCAGAAUUUGGUUCUCAAAGUCUUUUUUUAUUUACUAGGAAAGGUGUGAAAAAAGAUUGGAAGCACUUGGGCUCACUGAAAGAACGAAGAGGGUGUUUUCAGUGAUGAGCUUGGAGUGCCCCUCUGUGGAAUAACGUGAGCACUACAGCUUCUUUCUCACAGAUGGAUCAGAAGGAACCCCACCGGGCAAAGCAGCCUUUGCAGUGUAUGUGGCCUUGGGGAUGAGAGAAUGGAGGAAGAAAAGGCUGAUUAUCCAGGGAGAAUGUUCAAGGAGGUAAUUAAACAAAGAGGAGGGUCUGCAGUAAAUAUCACAAAUCCGAAUUCAAAUCCAGGCUUAAAGAACCUGUAAAUGAAUUCCAGCAAAGCCAAAACUUCAUGGGCCUCUGAGAGGAGAGCUGGCUUUUAACAUGCUCACUGAGCCAUGGGGAAAGACCAGCUCCAAGGUGAAAUGCCCUGGCUGGCAAACUUUUCCAGGAUCACACAGGAACCUCAUUAUAAAUGAAAAUCUAAAUCAGUAGACUUUGGAGAACAGGGGACAGAGACUAUGAAUCUGCGCUUUUAACAAACACCCCAAGGGAUUCUGAUGCAGGUUUUCCAUGGGCCACCUUUUAUGAAGCACUGAAAUAAGUUAUAGCAAUGCUCAGGCUACUAGGCCACUAUUGGAAACAUAGUUCUCUGAGGUUUAAAUGAUAUGUAUAUGCAUUAAUGAUUUGAAUGAGCAUACUAGUUAUUGUAUGCUAUGUAUUUUUCCCAUUAAAAGAGAUAUCUAAAAGUCA